CAGUCACCCAGGGGAAUCUACAUGUUUAAGCUUUCAUACCCUGUUCGGUUUCUUGUAGAACUCACUCAACACCUGGAGUGGAUUAAAUAGAUGAUGUAGAUUUCAACUGCUUAGAAAUAUCCAUUUCUGCCACAUUUCCUGCUGCCUGUUUUACUUCUGUGGAGUUAUUUAGUUGUCAUGUUGGAUGAGUCUGAGCUAUUUUCCCAGCACGCUGUACUAUAGUGUGAGUGCACCUUCUAGGGAAAAGGGCACAGACUGAACAACUUAUCAUCAGAAUCUGUGUUGACUGAAGGAAGGAUGGCAACAGAUUCCUGUCAGAUGAUUUUGCCUCAGACAAUUUGGCUGUGAAUGCUCAAAGAAUGAGGAAUAAGUACCCAGGGCAUAGAGCAUAAAGAGCCAAGGAAAUUUUUUUGAGCUAUUGACAUCUUUUAACAAGUUACUAUACUCCUAUGAACAAAAUUUGGAACAUAUUUGUUUCUCUCUACCUGAUUUCUCCAGAAUUUGGAAACUACUU
This 514-nucleotide long non-coding RNA is filed under the name Homo sapiens (human). RNAcentral describes it as "PREDICTED lncRNA (TCONS_00204015)". The record is from RNAcentral. Lineage: Eukaryota; Metazoa; Chordata; Mammalia; Primates; Hominidae.